RNAcentral lists this non-coding RNA (28 nucleotides) under Mus musculus (house mouse). The record is from RNAcentral. Lineage: Eukaryota; Metazoa; Chordata; Mammalia; Rodentia; Muridae.
UGGGAUUAGCUGCCUCCCACAGUGGAAC